Molecule: ribosomal RNA, 377 nt
Filed under: uncultured eukaryote
Lineage: Eukaryota
Description: partial 18S ribosomal RNA
Rfam family: Eukaryotic small subunit ribosomal RNA
Source: RNAcentral
CAAUAGCGUAUAUUUAAGUUGCUGCAGUUAAAAAGCUCGUAGUUGGAUUUCGGGUGGGAAUGGCCGGUCCGCCGUUUCGGUGUGCACUUGCUACGCCCACCUUGCUGCCGGGGACGUGCUCUUGAGUUCACGCUCGGGACACGGAGUCGGCGAGGUUACUUUGAGUAAAUUAGAGUGUUCAAAGCAGGCCUACGCUCUGAAUACAUUAGCAUGGAAUAACACGAUAGGACUCUGGCCUAUCUUGUUGGUCUGUAGGACCGGAGUAAUGAUUAAGAGGGACAGUCGGGGGCAUUCGUAUUUCAUUGUCAGAGGUGAAAUUCUGGGAUUUAUGAAAGACGAACUACUGCGAAAGCAUUUGCCAAGGAUGUUUUCAUUAA